This 892-nucleotide long non-coding RNA is filed under the name Fukomys damarensis (Damara mole-rat). RNAcentral describes it as "lncRNA (ENSFDAG00000030119.1)". The record is from RNAcentral. Lineage: Eukaryota; Metazoa; Chordata; Mammalia; Rodentia; Bathyergidae.
CUUCCCCACACUGCUCUGCUUUGUAUAAAUCCCGCUUGCUGUAUUCCCAGAGAAGCUCCAAUGGAAUUAGGCCCCGUGGAUGUCAAAAGAGAUAUAUAAAGAAAAGCAGGCUUCUAUGUGGGGCUUGCAAGGGAACAUGAGUUCCUUAUGAGCCACUGGCUAAUAGAGCUGCUUUUGCUCCUGUCUCUGUGUUCAAGUGCUCUGCCCGGGGAUCCUCCACAGUUUCCUGCUGCCCCUCAUCAUCUUCAUGACGGGCAUUUCCUGUCCUAGCUGCAGCUCUGAGAAUCUCUUUUUCUCUUAGGUUUAAUGUCUCACUGAAGAUGAACGUCACAUUAUCUAUCCCAAGCUCAGAUGGGGCAGAGACUGUCGGUCUGCUCAUCAAACCUCUCUGUGCCCCCGAAGGACCCUAAGCGGAGCAACAGUCAGACACAAGAGACUCACACGUGAAAGCUCUGAAACGGGUGGCGCUUCCUGCUUCGGGGAGAGACCGCAGACGGUGUGUCCCACGCCCGGCACCUGGCAGGCAUUCGGUCCAUCCAGGCCUUUCCUCCUCCUCCGACUGCAUGCAAGGGUAGGCCGGGCACCGCACAGUAAAUCUCCCCCGAGCUGCUCCCCAGGCGGGGUUGGUCCUUGAAGUCGGGCUUCACUGACUUCCGGGCCCAAGGACGAGGGCAUGAGCUGAGAGCAAAGCCAGCGCCUCCGUCUGACCCACAGAGGAUUAGGGGGUGGACUGGAGACCAGGAGUCAGCGGCGCCCUGGCCGGAGACAGGGCCUGCAAGAGCGGGACAUCCACCGAGCCUUCGCCGCGCAAGAUGCAUUCGGUGCAACUGAAACCAAGAUCAGGAAGAAAGGCGCUUGUAAAACUUGAAAAUAUCUUGUCACCUCCUUGCUU